This 253-nucleotide ribosomal RNA is filed under the name uncultured bacterium. Its description in RNAcentral is "partial 16S ribosomal RNA". It matches the Rfam family "Bacterial small subunit ribosomal RNA", at positions 524 to 776 of the family's 1533-position model. The record is from RNAcentral.
UACGUAGGGUGCGAGCGUUGUCCGGAAUUAUUGGGCGUAAAGGGCUCGUAGGCGGUUUGUCGCGUCGGGAGUGAAAACCAGGUGCUUAACACCUGGCUUGCUUUCGAUACGGGCAGACUAGAGGUAUUCAGGGGAGAACGGAAUUCCUGGUGUAGCGGUGAAAUGCGUAGAUAUCUGGAGGAACACCGGUGGCGAAGGCGGCAUCCUGGACCGGCAUUGACGCUGAGGCGCGAAAGCCAGGGGAGCAAACGGG